This 446-nucleotide ribosomal RNA is filed under the name uncultured bacterium. RNAcentral describes it as "partial 16S ribosomal RNA". It matches the Rfam family "Bacterial small subunit ribosomal RNA", at positions 338 to 795 of the family's 1533-position model. The record is from RNAcentral.
CCUACGGGUGGCUGCAGUCGAGAAUCAUUCACAAUGGGGGAAACCCUGAUGGUGCGACGCCGCGUGGGGGAAUGAAGGUCUUCGGAUUGUAAACCCCUGUCAUGUGGGAGCAAAUUAAAAAGAUAGUACCACAAGAGGAAGAGACGGCUAACUCUGUUCCCGCAGCCGCGGUAAUACAGAGGUCUCAAGCGUUGUUCGGAAUCACUGGGCGUAAAGCGUUCGUAGGCUGUUUCGUAAGUCGUGUGUGAAAGGCGCGGGCUCAACCCGCGGACGGCACAUGAUACUGCGAGACUAGAGUAAGGGAGGGGGAACCGGAAUGCUCGGUGUAGCAGUGAAAUGCGUAGAUAUCGAGAGGAACACUCGUGGCGAAGGCGGGUUCCUGGACAUUAACUGACGCUGAGGCACGAAGGCCAGGGGAGCGAAAGGGAUUAGAUACCCCUGUAGUC